CCUACGGGAGGCAGCAGUGAGGAAUAUUGGUCAAUGGGCGAGAGCCUGAACCAGCCAAGUCGCGUGAAGGAUGAAGGAUCUAUGGUUUGUAAACUUCUUUUAUAUGGGAAUAAAGUGAGGAACGUGUUCCUUUUUGUAUGUACCAUAUGAAUAAGCAUCGGGUAACUCCGUGCCAGCAGCCGCGGUAAUACGGAGGAUGCGAGCGUUAUCCGGAUUUAUGGGGUUUAAAGGGUGCGUAGGUGGUUAAUUAAGUCAGCGGUGAAAGUUUGUGGCUCAACCAUAAAAUUGCAGUUGAAACUGGUAUACGUGAGUAUAGUUGAGGUAGGCGGAAUGCGUGGUGUAGGGGUGAAAUGCAUAGAGAUCACGCAGAACACUGAUUGCGAAGGCAGCUUACUAAACUAUAACUGACACUGAUGCGCGAAAGCGUGGGGAUCAAACAGGAUUAGAUACCCGUGUAGUC
RNAcentral lists this ribosomal RNA (460 nucleotides) under uncultured bacterium. RNAcentral's name for it is "partial 16S ribosomal RNA". It matches the Rfam family "Bacterial small subunit ribosomal RNA", at positions 338 to 795 of the family's 1533-position model. The record is from RNAcentral.